GAUGAAGAACGUAGCGAAAUGCGAUAAGUAAUGUGAAUUGCAGAAUUCAGUGAAUCAUCGAAUCUUUGAACGCACCUUGCGCCCUUUGGCCAUUCCGAAGGGCAUGCCUGUUUGAGUAUCAUGAACACCUCAACUCUUCAUGGUUUUCCAUGAUGAGCUUGGACUUUGGGGGUCUUGCUGGCCUGUGGGUCGGCUCCUCUCAAAUGAAUCAGCUUGCCGGUUUUUGGUGGGCAUCACAGGUUUGAUAACUAUCUACGCUUGUGGUUUUCCACCAGGGUAACCUUCAGCAGUGGAGGUUCACUGGAGCUUACAAAUGUCUCUCCUCUGUGAGGACAGCCCUUUGAAUGUUUGAUCUCAAAUCAGGUAGGACUACCCGCUGAACUUAAGCAUAUCAAUAAGCGGAGGA
This 406-nucleotide unclassified non-coding RNA is filed under the name soil metagenome. RNAcentral describes it as "partial contains 5.8S ribosomal RNA, internal transcribed spacer 2, and large subunit ribosomal RNA". The stretch from base 1 to 121 matches the Rfam family "5.8S ribosomal RNA", at positions 35 to 154 of the family's 154-position model. The record is from RNAcentral.